RNAcentral lists this ribosomal RNA (545 nucleotides) under uncultured bacterium. Its description in RNAcentral is "bacterial SSU rRNA". It matches the Rfam family "Bacterial small subunit ribosomal RNA", at positions 776 to 1318 of the family's 1533-position model. The record is from RNAcentral.
AAAUAGAUACCCCCGGUAGUCCACGCCGUAAACGUUGGGCGCUAGAUGUGGGGACCAUUCCACGGUUUUCCGUGUCGCAGCUAACGCAUUAAGCGCCCCGCCUGGGGAGUACGGCCGCAAGGCUAAAACUCAAAGGAAUUGACGGGGGCCCGCACAAGCGGCGGAGCAUGCGGAUUAAUUCGAUGCAACGCGAAGAACCUUACCAAGGCUUGACAUAUACGAGAACGCUCUAGAAAUAGAGAACUCUUUGGACACUCGUAUACAGGUGGUGCAUGGUUGUCGUCAGCUCGUGUCGUGAGAUGUUGGGUUAAGUCCCGCAACGAGCGCAACCCUCGUUCUAUGUUGCCAGCGGUUCGGCCGGGAACUCAUAGGAGACUGCCGGGGUCAACUCGGAGGAAGGUGGGGAUGACGUCAAAUCAUCAUGCCCCUUAUGUCUUGGGCUUCACGCAUGCUACAAUGGCCGGUACAAAGGGCUGCAAUACCGUAAGGUGGAGCGAAUCCCAAAAAGCCGGUCUCAGUUCGGAUUGAGGUCUGCAACUCGACCU